This is a non-coding RNA of Lupinus angustifolius (narrow-leaved blue lupine), 103 nucleotides long. The record is from Rfam. Lineage: Eukaryota; Viridiplantae; Streptophyta; Magnoliopsida; Fabales; Fabaceae.
AAGCCCGGUAAUUAGGGCUUAAAGAACUUGAGCACAUAAGCGUGCUUGCGCGAGAGUAGUACUAGGAUGGGUGUGCCCCUGGGAAGUCCUCGUGUUGCACCUC